Molecule: long non-coding RNA, 2523 nt
Organism: Magnolia sinica
Lineage: Eukaryota; Viridiplantae; Streptophyta; Magnoliopsida; Magnoliales; Magnoliaceae
Exons: 2
Source: RefSeq, a predicted model, not a curated record
UCAACUAGCUACUUUUUAGAAACUUCUCAUUUGUUUGUUCACGAAUCGAAUUUAAAUGACAUCCAGGAUUUGUGGCUUUCAAUCCAUUUUCAAGGUUAUUGGGCAUUCUUAGUUUCUCAAAUGCAGAUAUCAACAAGUAAUAAUGCUCUGUUUGUCUCUGUAUGGUUGGGAAUUUAAUUGCUGAUCCAACACCCACCCCUACUUCUGGUUUGAAUUCCAAUUACACAAAUAGGGAGCUUUGCUAGGCCUCAACACACAUUAUACUGCUAUUUGUAUCUCUUCAACAGUGCAAUAACCUAACUUCCAUAAUACACACCCCCACCCCCACCCACCAAAGGGUCUCAAAUUUCAGGAAUAUGGUUGGUAAUACUUCAUGACGUGUUAGUUGCUUUAAUUUCCUUAUGUUGAUGGCAACAACGUUAUAAAAUUUGUUAUCAGCAGCUGAUGCGCCCAUUACCAAAAUGGAUAAUCCUUAAAAAAAAAAAAACAAAAUGGAUGGAGGCUGACUGUAGGUAAAUGUAUGAACCCGGACUAUCCAAUACUCGGGUAUCGAAAGUCCACGAGUUCUUACUUAAAAAAUUGAACUUUAUGCUUGUGUAUAUGAAAUUCCAUAACAAAAAGUGUUUAGUAUCGUAGAAAAUCAUGUACACAACGUUCAUCUUUAGGAAUUAAGUGGGCUAACCUUUAUGAUUUUUGAACAUUGAAAUGAAUAGGAGUGAUUUAGCCAAAGUGACAAUUUUGACUAAAAAAAAAGCACAAAAACGCCCCUAGACACUGUAUCACGAAUUUUAGUCAACCGGGUAGUCCAAUUUCGAAACUGUUUGUAGAAAUUAUGUAGAAUAGUUAGAGGAACAAUCCCAUAUAGUCAAAAUGCCAAGUGAAUCACACAAUCAUGGUGAACUAGAACAUGACACAUUUGUAGCCGUCGAUUGAGGAAGGUGAUCAUAAAAUUAAACUGACCAAAAUACUCGUCAUGUUGUUAAAUCCUUAACCCACCGUCGAAAUUCCAUUUCGAGGUGUGUAAAUACGAUUUCUAAAUUAACAUAGGUGUUAUGAUAGAUUUUAAUUUGCUUUUGUAUGGAGGUGGUGUGGGAAGAGAGGAAUGGGAGAUGUUGUAAAGGGGGUUCUAAUUUGAUGGGUUCCAUAGUGAAAAGAGUUCAGUUUUAUAUUUUCGACUGGGCCUCCAAUAUAAUGCUUUUAAAAGAUUGUAAUUUGCUUUUGUAUGGAGGCAAUUAACUCACAUUCUCAGCGGGUUGGCUUCCUCCCUGUUUUCCUUUUUUGUUUUAAUGAAAGUCUCUGUUAUCUCUCAAAAAAAAUAAAAUAAAAAAAAUAAUAAUAAUAAUAGUUCACAUUAAUCUAGACCUAGAAUUGAUGAACUACUUUUGAUGAUCCGAUAACUACCAAAUUUUAGACUUAACCUAUUAAGCAUAUUUUACGCGUACAAACUAAACCUCCAUGUCUAGAUCAUUCCAGAAAUACCUAAACUAAGAAAAUAACCCUAAACCAUUCAUUUUGUUUAUCAUAAUCAUGGAACCAAUUUUACAAGAUUUGGGACAAUGAGCUUGAUUUAAUGGAAGGCUCAGAUCAUACCAUUCUCAUGCUGAUUUUGAUGAUUAACAUGAGAACUUCACUUUUUGCUCAAAAUACCCAUAAUUAGAUAUAUCCUAAUCUAAUUACAACUAAGAAAUUUAGGCUUUAAGUAACUUGAAGUGAGACAUCAAGUUUAUGGAUUUUCAACUGUCAGAUUUUGGUGAAAAUUGGACCAAUCACUAAGAGCAUCUGACUACGUGUUUCUACAAAGUUCGAGCCCUGAUUGAUAAGUGUGGACCGUUGAUUUUGAUGAGUGAUUUAUAGCUUUCUAUACUUGUCCAAUCAUUACAAAACUUGUACGAUUUCAAAGAUCUCGAAAAACUAAGACAAUGGAGUGGUUGUGAUAACUUGGACCACACUACCAUAAAUCACAAUUCCCAACCAUUUUAGACCAACCAUGGGACUUCUUUAAUAUAUUGAGAGGUUGGACGUUCCAGCCCCCCAUUGUUGCAAAACCGGUCAUGAGAGGAGAGAAAAGAGAAGAAAGAGCAAGAGAGGUGUUUUUGUGGAGAUGUUGGAAGACGUGUGAGGGCUGAUAUUCCUUGAACGUCUUCACCAUUAGUGCUUGGAGGAAUCACCAUCAUCAUCAUCUAAUUAAACCCAAUCAUCAAGGUUUGGAGGGUUUCUUCUAGAUUUUCAUCAAAACAUAGUUUUAGGAAUAGAUUUCUAGCCUAGGCUUAGAUCUUGAUUUUUAGAAUUUAAUUCUAAAUUAAAAUUUUAAUUAAAAGAUUUAUUUUUAAAUUAAGGAUUUUGGAGUAGAUCUAGAAAUCUAUAGAGGCUGGGCAUGACCGUUGUGGACACGUUUGUGUACUUAGCAGUUGAGUGAUGGAUGUUGGAUGCGAGUGGCUAGUUAGUUGCAUACACAACUUGUCUUGCUUACCUCUGAAACUGAACAACUCGGCUGUAGUUCUCACAGUUGACACUUGAGCCAUA